CUUGCAUUAAAAAGGAAUAAACACAAGUGACACAAUAAAAUGUACUUAAUAUAUGAACUCACGAACAUUGUGUGCAGGAAAAGUUAAUAGAAAUAAUGGUCAAUUACAUCAUGUAAUUUGGUUCUAUACUCUUUUGUGUAUAUAUCCUGAAUGCUACCUCUUUGUGAUCAACUCUUUGUCCUUCGAAUCGAAUGGCACAGCUACUGCCCCUUGUGGAAAAAGAAAUCACUCUGUAAUACCCAUAAAUGUAAGAGGCAAAUAUCAUGUGAUGCAUCUCAACCUGCGCAAAACAAUGUAAAAACUGUACAUGCUAUCUACAUACUCUCAUUGUGUAGCAAAGCAACAAAGCAUAAGGACCAUGUACAAAAGAAUUGACAAUUAGUAAGAAAGAAGCAUGACAUCAGCUGUCUAGGCAACCAUAAAACAAUAAGUGGCAAAAGCCCUAUCAGAAUUAGCAUUUGAAUCCAGUUUAUGAGCUAAAGUUGAGCAUUUACCUAUGUCACAACUGUACCUUGAAGCACGAUCAACAUGCAGGACCUAGCUCGUAAUUCUAUUUAGGAAUCAUUGUCUUCAUAAAGUAAUCAGUAAACUUGGUCAUCCAUGGACCGACUGUAGCUUGCUUGCUAAUUUCCACCUGUCACAAAUAAGACAAUCAUGUUCAAACUGAAGGUGAAAGCAUUACACAUUCAGUCUCUUAUGUAAUUUAGUAUAUACUGAUAAAAUCUCCAUGAAGAAGCAGACGAGCUGCUGGAAAUAAACUGGCAUGGAACGAAAUCAGUGCCACAAAACCAUAUAGACAUGCAUGCUCAUCAAGCAUGUCAUACAUUUUACCCUUAGCUAGUGCUGGUGCCCUACCUCAAGAACCUCCAGCCCACACAAUAGAAAUUCAUCCAUCUCAGCCAUGAAUUCACUUAAAUAGGAAACAAAAUAAAUGUUUUCCUCAGACAUAGUACACUGAAGAAACAAAACUAUGCAGGCUGAACCGAUAAGCUCUUAUGACUGAACAACGCCCAUCCGCAAACAUCAUCAUUCUAGUCAAGAAAAUAACUGAAUAAAGCCCAUCUGUAGCAGUACACUGUUGGAAGAUUAAAAGAUAGUUCAGAUGUAUUUUCCACAAUUUUCUCUAGGAUGAACGCAGGAGCUUGAAAGGAGGGACAAUAUUGGGUUUACCAUGCAACAGAACUGUGCACCAUCAACAAUGGC
RNAcentral lists this long non-coding RNA (1203 nucleotides) under Triticum aestivum (bread wheat). RNAcentral describes it as "long non-coding RNA (TAES_LNC011788)". Lineage: Eukaryota; Viridiplantae; Streptophyta; Magnoliopsida; Poales; Poaceae. The record is from RNAcentral.